CUUAACACAUGCAAGUCGAGGGGCAUCAUGAGGUAGCAAUACCUUGAUGGCGACCGGCGCACGGGUGAGUAACACGUAUCCAACCUGCCCUUUACUCGGGGAUAGCCUUUCGAAAGAAAGAUUAAUACCCGAUGGCAUAGUUCUUCCGCAUGGUGGAACUAUUAAAGAAUUUCGGUCAUCGAUGGGGAUGCGUUCCAUUAGGUUGUUGGCGGGGUAACGGCCCACCAAGCCUUCGAUGGAUAGGGGUUCUGAGAGGAAGGUCCCCCACAUUGGAACUGAGACACGGUCCAAACUCCUACGGGAGGCAGCAGUGAGGAAUAUUGGUCAAUGGACGAGAGUCUGAACCAGCCAAGUAGCGUGAAGGAUGACUGCCCUAUGGGUUGUAAACUUCUUUUAUAUAAGAAUAAAGUGCAGUAUGUAUACUGUUUUGUAUGUAUUAUAUGAAUAAGGAUCGGCUAACUCCGUGCCAGCAGCCGCGGUAAUACGGAGGAUCCGAGCGUUAUCCGGAUUUAUUGGGUUUAAAGGGAGCGUAGGUGGAUUGUUAAGUCAGUUGUGAAAGUUUGCGGCUCAACCGUAAAAUUGCAGUUGAAACUGGCAGUCUUGAGUACAGUAGAGGUGGGCGGAAUUCGUGGUGUAGCGGUGAAAUGCUUAGAUAUCACGAAGAACUCCGAUUGCGAAGGCAGCUCACUAGACUGCAACUGACACUGAUGCU
This 712-nucleotide ribosomal RNA is filed under the name uncultured Bacteroidales bacterium. RNAcentral describes it as "bacterial SSU rRNA". It matches the Rfam family "Bacterial small subunit ribosomal RNA", at positions 47 to 753 of the family's 1533-position model. Lineage: Bacteria; Pseudomonadati; Bacteroidota; Bacteroidia; Bacteroidales. The record is from RNAcentral.